AGAGUUUGAUCCUGGCUCAGGAUGAACGCCGGCGGUGUGCCUAAUACAUGCAAGUCGAACGCGUUGGCCCAACUUGAUUGAACGUGCUUGCACGGACUUUGACGUUGGUUUACCAGCGAGUGGCGGACGGGUGAGUAACACGUAGGUAACCUUGCCCCAAAGCGGGGGAUAACAUUUGGAAACAGAUGCUAAUACCGCAUAACAAUUUGAAUCGCAUGAUUCAAAUUUGAAAGAUGGCUUCGGCUAUCACUUUGGGAUGGACCUGCGGCGCAUUAGCUUGUUGGUAGGGUAACGGCCUACCAAGGCUGUGAUGCGUAGCCGAGUUGAGAGACUGAUCGGCCACAAUGGAACUGAGACACGGUCCAUACUCCUACGGGAGGCAGCAGUAGGGAAUCUUCCACAAUGGGCGCAAGCCUGAUGGAGCAACACCGCGUGAGUGAAGAAGGGUUUCGGCUCGUAAAGCUCUGUUGUUAGAGAAGAACGUGCGCGAGAGCAACUGUUCACGCAGUGACGGUAUCUAACCAGAAAGUCACGGCUAACUACGUGCCAGCAGCCGCGGUAAUACGUAGGUGGCAAGCGUUAUCCGGAUUUAUUGGGCGUAAAGCGAGCGCAGGCGGUUUGAUAAGUCUGAUGUGAAAGCCUUUGGCUUAACCAAAGAAGUGCAUCGGAAACUGUCAGACUUGAGUGCAGAAGAGGACAGUGGAACUCCAUGUGUAGCGGUGGAAUGCGUAGAUAUAUGGAAGAACACCAGUGGCGAAGGCGGCUGUCUGGUCUGCAACUGACGCUGAGGCUCGAAAGCAUGGGUAGCGAACAGGAUUAGAUACCCUGGUAGUCCAUGCCGUAAACGAUGAGUGCUAGGUGUUGGAGGGUUUCCGCCCUUCAGUGCCGCAGCU
RNAcentral lists this ribosomal RNA (893 nucleotides) under uncultured bacterium. RNAcentral's name for it is "bacterial SSU rRNA". It matches the Rfam family "Bacterial small subunit ribosomal RNA", at positions 8 to 853 of the family's 1533-position model. The record is from RNAcentral.